AGCGAACGCUGGCGGCAGGCUUAACACAUGCAAGUCGAGCGCCCGUAGCAAUACGGGAGCGGCAGACGGGUGAGUAACACGUGGGAACAUGCCCUUUGGUUCGGAAUAACUCAGGGAAACUUGAGCUAAUACCGGAUAAGCCCUUACGGGGAAAGAUUUAUCGCCAAAGGAUUGGCCCGCGUCUGAUUAGCUAGUUGGUGGGGUAAUGGCCCACCAAGGCUACGAUCAGUAGCUGUUCGAGAGGAUGAUCAGCCACAUUGGGACUGAGACACGGCCCAAACUCCUACGGGAGGCAGCAGUGGGGAAUAUUGGACAAUGGGGGAAACCCUGAUCCAGCCAUGCCGCGUGAGUGAUGAAGGCCCUAGGGUUGUAAAGCUCUUUCGGUGGGGAAGAUAAUGACGGUACCACAGAAGAAGCCCCGGCUAACUUCGUGCCA
This 436-nucleotide ribosomal RNA is filed under the name uncultured bacterium. RNAcentral's name for it is "bacterial SSU rRNA". It matches the Rfam family "Bacterial small subunit ribosomal RNA", at positions 29 to 510 of the family's 1533-position model. The record is from RNAcentral.